Molecule: ribosomal RNA, 508 nt
Filed under: uncultured prokaryote
Description: bacterial SSU rRNA
Rfam family: Archaeal small subunit ribosomal RNA
Source: RNAcentral
GGCUUUUGCCGACUGUCUUUUGGCGAACCUAAACCGUUCGCAGAAUAAGUUCUGGGUAAGACCAGUGCCAGCCGCCAUGCGCAUUCGCAUAAUGCGCACGGUAUGCGGUAAUACUGGCAGAACGAGUGGUGCCCACGAAUAUUGGGUCUAAAGAGACCGUAGCUGGCCUGUUAAGUCCACUGUGAAAUCUUGGGGCUCAACCUCAAGGCGUGCAGUGGAUACUGGCAGGCUUGAGAGCGGGGGAGGUCAGGGGUACUUACGGGGUAUGAGUAAAAUCAGUUGAUCCUGUAAGGACCACCAGUGGCGAAGGCGCCUGACCAAAACGCGUCUGACAGUGAGGGUCGAAGGCUAGGAGAACGAAUCGGAUUAGAUACCCGAGUAGCCCUAGCAGUAAAUUAUGCAGACUGUGGUGUUGCUGUGGCUUCGGGCCACAGCAGUGCUGUAGCGUAGGUGUUAAGUCUGCCACCUGGGGAGUACGGGCGCAAGGUUGAAACUUAAAGGAUUGGCG